GCGCGAGUGGUGGAACUGGCAGACACGCAGGAUUUAGGUUCCUGUGCCCUGACCGGCGUGCGGGUUCGAGUCCCGCCUCGCGCACCC
RNAcentral lists this transfer RNA (87 nucleotides) under Kocuria rosea. RNAcentral describes it as "tRNA-Leu". It matches the Rfam family "tRNA". Rfam says of the family: Transfer RNA (tRNA) molecules are approximately 80 nucleotides in length. Their secondary structure includes four short double-helical elements and three loops (D, anti-codon, and T loops). Further hydrogen bonds mediate the characteristic L-shaped molecular structure. tRNAs have two regions of fundamental functional importance: the anti-codon, which is responsible for specific mRNA codon recognition, and the 3' end, to which the tRNAs corresponding amino acid is attached (by aminoacyl-tRNA synthetases). tRNAs cope with the degeneracy of the genetic code in two manners: having more than one tRNA (with a specific anti-codon) for a particular amino acid; and 'wobble' base-pairing, i.e. permitting non-standard base-pairing at the 3rd anti-codon position. Lineage: Bacteria; Bacillati; Actinomycetota; Actinomycetes; Micrococcales; Micrococcaceae. The record is from RNAcentral. RNAcentral also lists the same sequence under 7 other names.